This 95-nucleotide ribosomal RNA is filed under the name Limosilactobacillus vaginalis. The record is from RNAcentral. RNAcentral also lists the same sequence under 1 other name. Lineage: Bacteria; Bacillati; Bacillota; Bacilli; Lactobacillales; Lactobacillaceae.
AUACACCUGUUCCCAUGCCGAACACAGAAGUUAAGCUUCAACACGCCAAAAGUAGUUGGGGGAUCGCUCCCUGCGAGGAUAGGACGUUGCCACGC